UACGGGGGGGGCAAGCGUUGUUCGGAAUUACUGGGCGUAAAGGGCUCGUAGGCGGCCAACUAAGUCAGACGUGAAAUCCCUCGGCUUAACCGGGGAACUGCGUCUGAUACUGGAUGGCUCGAGUUUGGGAGAGGGAUGCGGAAUUCCAGGUGUAGCGGUGAAAUGCGUAGAUAUCUGGAGGAACACCGGUGGCGAAGGCGGCAUCCUGGACCAAUACUGACGCUGAAUAGCGAAAGCCAGGGGAGCAAACAGG
This 253-nucleotide ribosomal RNA is filed under the name uncultured bacterium. RNAcentral describes it as "partial 16S ribosomal RNA". It matches the Rfam family "Bacterial small subunit ribosomal RNA", at positions 524 to 776 of the family's 1533-position model. The record is from RNAcentral.